RNAcentral lists this ribosomal RNA (325 nucleotides) under uncultured Chloroflexota bacterium. RNAcentral's name for it is "bacterial SSU rRNA". It matches the Rfam family "Bacterial small subunit ribosomal RNA", at positions 28 to 351 of the family's 1533-position model. The record is from RNAcentral. Lineage: Bacteria; Bacillati; Chloroflexota.
GAUGAACGCUGGCGGCGUGCCUAAUACAUGCAAGUCGAACGGAGUUGUUGUAGCAAUACGGCAACUUAGUGGCGAACGGGUGAGUAACGCGUUGGUGACCUGCCCCGAAGAGGGGGAUAACAGUCCGAAAGGAUUGCUAAUACCCCAUGUGGUUACCGGUUUUAGAAUCCGGCAACUAAAGUCGUAAGACACUUUGGGAGGGACCUGCGUCCCAUCAGCUAGUUGGUAAGGUAACGGCUUACCAAGGCGACGACGGGUAGGGGACCUGAGAGGGUGGACCCCCACAAUGGCACUGAAACACGGGCCAUACACCUACGGGUGGCAG